RNAcentral lists this ribosomal RNA (497 nucleotides) under uncultured bacterium. RNAcentral's name for it is "partial 16S ribosomal RNA". It matches the Rfam family "Bacterial small subunit ribosomal RNA", at positions 28 to 507 of the family's 1533-position model. The record is from RNAcentral.
GAUGAACGCUGGCGGCGUGCCUAAUACAUGCAAGUCGAGCGAACGGACGAUAAGCUUGCUUCUCUGAUGUUAGCGGCGGACGGGUGAGUAACACGUGGAUAACCUACCUAUAAGUCUGGGAUAACUUCGGGAAACCGGAGCUAAUACCGGAUGAUAUUUUGAACCGCAUGGUUCAAAAGUGAAAGACGGUCUUGCUGUCACUAAUAGCUGGAUCCGCGCUGCAUUAGCUAGUUGGUAAGGUAACGGCUUACCAAGGCAACGAUGCAUAGCCGACCUGAGAGGGUGAUCGGCCACACUGGAACUGAGACACGGUCCAGACUCCUACGGGAGGCAGCAGUAGGGAAUCUUCCGCAAUGGGCGCAAGCCUGACGGAGCAACGCCGCGUGAGUGAUGAAGGUCUUCGGAUCGUAAAGCUCUGUUAUUAGGGAAGAACAGAUGUGUAAGUAACUGUGCACAUCUUGACGGUACCUAAUCAGAAAGCCACGGCUAACUACGUG